This 525-nucleotide long non-coding RNA is filed under the name Actinidia chinensis (golden kiwifruit). RNAcentral's name for it is "long non-coding RNA (ACHI_LNC004129)". The record is from RNAcentral. Lineage: Eukaryota; Viridiplantae; Streptophyta; Magnoliopsida; Ericales; Actinidiaceae.
UUUGAGUCCAGCACUGUUGAAACAGUAGGGACAAUUGCUAUGGGGAGUUUGAGGCAUGAAAUAAAUACCCUUAUGUUAUAGGUUGUUCAAUAAUCGUAUUUUUACCACUUUGAUCCUUGGAUAUUUCUUUGGAAGCUUUGGUAAUCCAGGUAGACUUGUGCACAAGUCUUGUAUUCUAUCUACUGCCAAAUGCUGAGUUAUAUAUGGUUACGAGAAGUUUGAUGUGUGAGAGUAGGGACCUGACCGUCUUUCAUUGUCUCACCCAUUAAACAUUUUAACUGAUAGUGCUUUUCACCUUCCUCCAGCCUUGUCUUUUUAUUCUGAUGGAUCCAAGUGGGGCAUUUGUGGGUUGGGGGUGUAAAAUAAUAUAAAAUUAUAAGAUUUUGUACUCCCAAAAUAUUUUUAAUCUAGAAAACUUUAAAGAGUACAACUUGAUAUGUGGUUUAUCGAUAUAAGACAAUAAUUAAGCCGCUUGUGUUGUACUUUUAUUUACUCUGAGAUUUUAUCCGUAGUAAGACUUUAAAC